CUUGAGCGCCCUCCCAGUUGUAAAGGACAAACAUAGUGUAACGACCCUGGGUUUAUAAGAGCGGAUAUCGACUCUACCACUUGUGCAUUCCUUUGUGGCACAUUCGAUAGCGUUUGUGGCACAGUCGAUAGUGCGCUGGACUUCGGGCUAAAAGGUCGAGGGUUCGAGACCUGCUCCCUGCUGUUUCAUUACAAUAGUGAGCACAAUGGUGCCUGAGGCUAAGACCACCCUGUCUCUAGAGGCCUUGUCGUAGAUCCCCACAUGGCACUCAUAUGGUCCAUCAUCUUCCAUCUGCACCUCAGGGAGCCUGGCAACACAACAGCAAACCCAGGAAGAUAACACAGACUACUGGUCAAGCUUACCGAACAGUUGAUUGGUAGACCAGGUCUUCUCGUCUGCGGAAGUCCUCCAUAUGGGAGAAGUUGCUGUUGUACAUGGCAUCGUAGGUGAAGAUC
Molecule: long non-coding RNA, 455 nt
Organism: Salvelinus sp. IW2-2015
Lineage: Eukaryota; Metazoa; Chordata; Actinopteri; Salmoniformes; Salmonidae
Source: RefSeq, a predicted model, not a curated record